AGGAUAUAUCGUAGCAGUUUAUAUGGAAUUUGUGGCAAAAUAAUUAUCAACAAAAUUUUGUACACAAAACCAAAUGUUCCAAAAGAGACUCUCGUACAAAAUUUGUUACCACACAUGGAUUGUUAAAGACGAAUAUACAAGUGAACGAGUGAUUACCAUGAAAAUUUGUUGAACACAAAACUGGUACACAUGACAUGCAGUACAGCCAAGCCAAAUUAAUUUGACAUAAACAAAAACAUCAGCAUCAUCAACAACACACAUGGAGAAAAUAGAAUCCAGUAGUGAAUCAAGCAAGUCAAGUUGAUUUUCAUCCCAGCCAAUAUUUGCAAUAAGCAAACCAGUUAAAUCAUCUUCAGUGAGACUGACUUGAUUUGAUUCUGGUACUUCUGAUAGACUAUCAGGAAUUGGUGGUGAUACAGAACUUGGUGGUGUUUCAUACAAUGGUUGCUGUUUUGUGAUGGGCGGUGGUGAUGGUGAACAUGGUGGUGUUGGUAAACUUGAAGCACUUGUUAUAUCUAAUGAUUGUAACCAUGAUAAACUU
Aphidius gifuensis is the source of this 541-nucleotide long non-coding RNA. RefSeq lists it as uncharacterized. The transcript has 3 exons. The record is from RefSeq and is a predicted model, not a curated record. NCBI's taxonomy places the organism in Eukaryota, Metazoa, Arthropoda, Insecta, Hymenoptera, Braconidae.